AUCCGUUUGAGUCAGUUGAUUCCAACCUCUCGUCUAGUUAUUAUGAAUUCGGAAAAUGCAACUCGAAAUAGAUAAUUAAUGAAGGCUUCAACAUCAACGAUGGGGGUAUCACUGAAUUGAAGCACCAUCUCCACAAAUAUACUAGAUUCCCUCUUGAGUAUUUGAUGCAGAGUCUUCUAAAUGGU
Long non-coding RNA from Coccinella septempunctata (seven-spotted ladybird), 185 nucleotides. RefSeq lists it as uncharacterized. The record is from RefSeq and is a predicted model, not a curated record. Lineage: Eukaryota; Metazoa; Arthropoda; Insecta; Coleoptera; Coccinellidae. The transcript has 3 exons.